Molecule: ribosomal RNA, 1324 nt
Filed under: metagenome
Description: bacterial LSU rRNA
Rfam family: Bacterial large subunit ribosomal RNA
Source: RNAcentral
AGUGGAUGGGGAGCAACCUAGUUGUGCGUGUGUAAAGGUAGUGCCAAGAAAAGCGGUGAUCAUGAUGAAAAUCAAUUCCCGGUACCCGAAACCGACACAGGUGGGCAAGUAGAGAAUACUAAGGGGCGCGAGGUAACUCUCUCCAAGGAACUCGGCAAAAUGACCCCGUAACUUAGGGAGAAGGGGUGCCACCGAGAGGUGGUCGCAGUGAAGAGGCCCAGGCGACUGUUUAGCAAAAACAUAGGUCUCUGCAAACUCGAAAGAGGAGGUAUAGGGGCUGACGCCUGCCCAGUGCCGGAAGGUUAAAGAAGUUGGUCAGUCUUAGGAUAAAGCUAGCGACUGAAGCCCCGGUGAACGGCGGCCGUAACUAUAACGGUCCUAAGGUAGCGAAAUUCCUUGUCGGGUAAGUUCCGACCCGCACGAAAGGCGUAACGAUCUGGGCGCUGUCUCGGAGAGAGGCUCGGCGAAAUAGGAUUGUCUGUGAAGAUACGGACUACCUGCAUUUGGACAGAAAGACCCUAUGAAGCUUUACUAUAGCUUGGAAUUGUGUUCGGGCUUCCUGUGCGCAGGAUAGGUGGGAGGCGAAGAAGGUAUUCUUGUGGGGAUACUGGAGCCGACGGUGAGAUACCACUCUCAGGAGGCUAGAAUUCUAACUUAAUUAAGGACAGUUCCAGGUGGGUAGUUUGACUGGGGCGGUCGCCUCCAAAAAGGUAACGGAGGCGUACAAAGGUUCCCUCAGACUGGUUGGAAAUCAGUCGCAGAGUGCAAAGGCAGAAGGGAGCUUGACUGCGAGAAGUACAGUUCGAGCAGGGUGGAAACACGGUCUUAGUGAUCCGACGGUGCUGUGUGGAAGGGCCGUCGUUCAACGGAUAAAAGUUACUCUAGGAUAACAGGCUGAUCUCCCCCAAGAGUUCACAUCGACGGGGAGGUUUGGCACCUCGAUGUCGGCUCAUCGCAACCUGGGGCGGAAGUACGUCCCAAGGGUUGGGCUGUUCGCCCAUUAAAGCGGUACGUGAGCUGGGUUCAGAACGUCGUGAGACAGUUCGGUCCAUAUCCGAUGUAGGCGUGAGAAUAUUGAGAGAGCCUUCCUUAGUACGAGAGGACCGGGAAGGACGCACCGCUGGUGUACCUGUUAUGAUGCCAAUUGUAAACGCAGGGUAGCCAAGUGCGGAGAGGAUAACCGCUGAAAGCAUCUAAGUGGGAAGCCCACCUCAAGAUGAGUAUUCUGGUGUAAGGUCACGGGAAGACGACCCGUAAAUAGGCACGAGGUGGAAGUGCAGAGAUGUAUGAAGCCGAAGUGUACUAAUAGACCGUCGGCUUGACC